This is a long non-coding RNA of Fukomys damarensis (Damara mole-rat), 401 nucleotides long. RefSeq lists it as uncharacterized. The transcript has 3 exons. The record is from RefSeq and is a predicted model, not a curated record. NCBI's taxonomy places the organism in Eukaryota, Metazoa, Chordata, Mammalia, Rodentia, Bathyergidae.
GCUGUGCUGGGGUGGGGAGUCUUGUUUUGGUGUUUUAGGGAAUCACAGAGAGCCUCCUGGAGCAGAUACCAUUGAAGCUGUGGCUGUGGGAAAUGGGACCAGCCGAGGACACACUGGAGAGCUCUAGACAGGAAGAAGAGCCUGUGACAGCCAGGAGCCAGCAUGAAGUGAGGAAUGCAUCCUGGGAGAUAGCUGCAGUCUGGCUUUGGGAGUUCUAAAAAGAGGAGUGACAAGUCCUGGUUUUGGAGGACAGUGGUGGUUCCAAAUGAAGUUCUGCAGACUGAGUGUGGCCCUAGUCAUCCUUGCUGACCCAUCUGGAUACAUCACCCCCAGGUGUCUGUAAAGGGAGAUUCCCUUUGUUCCUUCAGUUGCCUCUCCAGUAUAAUUCAGCACAGAACAGA